This 443-nucleotide ribosomal RNA is filed under the name uncultured bacterium. RNAcentral describes it as "partial 16S ribosomal RNA". It matches the Rfam family "Bacterial small subunit ribosomal RNA", at positions 338 to 795 of the family's 1533-position model. The record is from RNAcentral.
CCUACGGGGGGCAGCAGUGGGGGAUAUUGGACAAUGGGGGAAACCCUGAUCCAGCGACGCCGCGUGAGUGAAGAAGUAUUUCGGUAUGUAAAGCCCUAUCAGCAGGGAAGAAAAUAAUGACGGUAGCUGAGUAAGAAGCAGCGGCUAACUACGGGCCAGCAGCCGCGGUAAUAAGUAGGGGGCAAGCGUCAUCCGGAAUUACUGGUGGUAAAGGGAGCGUAGGCGGUAAUGCAAGUCUGGAGGGAAAGGCGGGGGCCCAACCCCCGGACGGCUCUGGAUACUGUGUAACUGGAGUGCAGGAGAGGCAGGCGGAAUUCGUGGUGUAGCGGUGAAAUGCGUAGAUAGUAGGAGGAACACCAGUGGCGAAGGCGGCCUGCUGGACUGUAACUGACGUUGAGGCACGAAGGCGUGGGGAGCGAACAGGAUUAGAUACCCCAGUAGUC